GACGAACGCUGGCGGCGUGCUUAACACAUGCAAGUCGAACGGUGAAGCGCCUUCCUUUUUGGUGGGUGUGGAUGAGUGGCGAACGGGUGAGUAACACGUGAGUAACCUGCCCCCUUCUUCUGGAUAACCGCAUGAAAGUGUGGCUAAUACGGGAUAUUCUGGGUCUGUCGCAUGAUGGGUCUGGGAAAGAUAUUGUUUCGGUGGGGGAUGGGCUCGCGGCCUAUCAGCUUGUUGGUGGGGUGAUGGCCUACCAAGGCGGUGACGGGUAGCCGGCCUGAGAGGGUGGACGGUCACACUGGGACUGAGACACGGCCCAGACUCCGAAGGGAGGCAGCAGGGGGGAAUAUUGCACAAUGGGCGCAAGCCUGAUGCAGCGACGCCGCGGGAGGGAUGGAGGCCGUCGGGUUGUGAACCUCUUUCGCAAGUGAAGCAGGCCUGCCUCGUUUGUGGGUGGGUUGACGGUAGCUGGAUAAGAAGCGCCGGCUAACUACGUG
Molecule: ribosomal RNA, 494 nt
Filed under: uncultured bacterium
Lineage: Bacteria
Description: partial 16S ribosomal RNA
Rfam family: Bacterial small subunit ribosomal RNA
Source: RNAcentral